RNAcentral lists this ribosomal RNA (580 nucleotides) under Paguristes tortugae. RNAcentral describes it as "partial 16S ribosomal RNA". It matches the Rfam family "Bacterial large subunit ribosomal RNA", at positions 1796 to 2643 of the family's 2925-position model. The record is from RNAcentral. Lineage: Eukaryota; Metazoa; Arthropoda; Malacostraca; Decapoda; Diogenidae.
UCGCCUGUUUAUCAAAAACAUAUCUGUAUGAAGAUAUAUAGAGUCUAGCCUGCCCACUGAACUAAUUAAAGGGCCGCGGUAUUCUGACCGUGCGAAGGUAGCAUAAUCAAUAACCUUUUAAUUGGAGGUCUGUAUGAAUGGUUGGACGAGAAAUGAACUGUUUCUUAUUUAAAGUUUAAAUUUAACUUUUGAGUGAAAAGGCUCAAAUUUUAUAAAAAGACGAUAAGACCCUAUAAAUCUUUAUGUUUAAAGAAAUUAAAGUAAUUUAUGAGUGAAACUCUUUUUAUUUUAAAUAACAUURUGUUGGGGCGACAUAAAUAUUUAAUUAACUGUUUAAAAAAAUAUACAAAUAUAUUUGAUUUGGUGGCGUGAGAUCCUUAUUAUAGAUUGCAAGAUUAAGUUACUUUAGGGAUAACAGCGUUAUUUUAUUUAAGAGUCCGUAUCGAAAAUAAAGUUUGCGACCUCGAUGUUGAAUUAAAAUUUCUUUGUGGUGCAGCAGCUACAAUAGAGAGUCUGUUCGACUUUUAAAAUUUUACAUGAUUUGAGUUCAGACCGGCGUGAGCCAGGUUGGUUUCUAUCU